RNAcentral lists this unclassified non-coding RNA (1795 nucleotides) under Eurytemora carolleeae. Its description in RNAcentral is "corepressor interacting with RBPJ 1". The record is from RNAcentral. Lineage: Eukaryota; Metazoa; Arthropoda; Copepoda; Calanoida; Temoridae.
AUAAAAUGCCGAAGGGUCGAAGCAAAGGAUUUGGGCACUAUAUGUGCAAAAAGUUUUUCCAUCCGGGGAACCCGGAAAAUUUGGAACGUGUAUUUGUGGCUCGAGAGAAGGCCAAGGCCAAGGAUAAACUUGAGAAGGAUAAAAUACAGGAAUAUGAGAGGGAACAGGAGACAUGGAAUAACAAGGCUGCAGUUACAAAUACAAGGGACCGAGACAAGCUGGCGCUUAGUUUUAUGUACGAACCCCCGGCUGGGAUGAAGAAAGAGGAUAAACCGGAUACGGAGAAGAAGGACGAAUUUAAGUUUGAUUGGCAGAGGAAUGCUCCCCGUCAGUCCUACGCUAAAGAAGAUCCAAAUAUCGUCGAUCAUCCCUUUGGUAUAAGUGUACAGUUCACCAAAUGUAUAAGAUGUCAAGUAUGGGGGCAUUCACAUACAGAGAAACACUGCCCUAAGUAUGGGAAGGCCCGGGAUGAAGAGGAACCAGCGGUUGUUAUCAACGAGAAGAAACUUAUCCAGGAAAUGAAACAAAAGGAUCGUCUUCAAUUUACAAGUUACGGAACUUGGGAUAACGGGAAGCUGGGUGGGAAACAGUAUGAUCUAGUCUACUCCUCUCCAUCUGAAGAUGAAGGCGGAGGAGAUCUCAUGUCGGGACUACUCAAGGGAAUCCGAGGAAAAGAGAAGAAAAUAAAGAUAUUGAGAUCUAAAGUGAAAAAAGAAUCUGAACGAAAUCGAAGAAAACAUCACAAAAAAUUCGCAAAAUCCGAAAAGACUUCAACACGUGAUAAAUCCACGAAACGUGACGUAUCCAGGGGAAAAGGUUCCAGACGGAAAUAUGAAAGAUCGUCUUCUCCCAAGGAGAGCAAACAAGAGACUGCCAAAAUAUCGGACAAAUCACGAUUAGCGUACCUGAAUAAAAUUGAUGAUAUUCUAUUUUCUGAUAUUGGUCCUCCCCCACCUCGUAAGGAGUCCGAACUUAAUAAAUCAGGAGAAAGCUUUCUGAGUGAAGUUGACAAGAUACUCGGGCUGACAGAUGAAUCUGAAGAAGAAGAAGAAGAGUCGGAGUCAGAAGAGGAAAAAGAAGAAGAAGAAGAAGAACAGGAAGAGGAGGCCCUUACGGAGACUGAAAUGCGUCUUUUUAAUCUGAUUAGUAUUAACAAGAUUGAUGUGAAGAAAAACUUCGAGGAUAAAUAUCCUGAUACUAAUUGUCAUUUCUGCAGAGUAGAAGAAAAUACUGAACACCUGGCUGUGUGUCCUGUGUAUGAUGAUAUUAUGAAAGGGAGAGAGUUUCAGGAUAUUAAGUCUCAGAAUUUAGCAAAGGUCAAAACUGCUUUAAAGCACAUAAGGAAAGCUCUGUUAAAACGUGCAAAGGCUCUAUCAGUUACGAGUGUAGGAUCAAUUUCUGCUGAAAACAUGGCACUGUUAGAUUUAUCUGUGAAACCAGUGUUAGAUGAACGCUGUAAACGUGCGCUAGAAAUAUUAAACUCUCAACCCUUCAACAUUGUUUAGUCACAAAAUCCUGUAUCCUGUAUAGGCACAAGUGUGAUUUAUGUUAUAGUUUCAAAGAAAAUUGGUUUCCUGAUGUCGAAAAAUACACCACUUUCCUGAUCUGCAGUUUUACCCCCUGGUAAAAUCAGAUGUUAACGGUAAAAAUCAGAUGUUAACGGUAAAAUCAGAUGUUAACGGUAAAAUCAGAUGUUAACGGUAAAAUCUCCCAAUUUUAAAGUACUCACCACUCUGUCCAUGCGCAGAUUACUCAAUAUUUCGACAAAAUGGUUUUCAUGGAGAAAGUUUUUUUA